UUGUUUAGAGGAAACUAAAGAAAUGGCUUCAACAAGAAAGAUCACAUGUUUAAUCCUAACAGGUAUUACAAAUUAAAAUAUAAAAGCAGCCCACACAAUUACAUCACUAUGAAAAUAUUCAUAUAUAAUAUUAAAAAAUACAAUGCAUGCAGUAUUUGUUGUGUUUAUCUGUAUUUAAUGAACAACAUGGCUGGGUGCUGGGUGCUGGUUUGUGGUCGUAGCACUCUCUAUCUAACCACUCGUUCAGGUGCUUUCUCGAGUGAUUGCAACCAACUACCGCACACGUAGUUCCCGAACCACUUUUCUUCAUGUUGUAAUUGUUAUAUCCUCUUUGUCUCUGCGAUAUCAGUGCUUUGUCGGCACAACGGAGCUAGCUAGCAAAACAAA
Molecule: long non-coding RNA, 387 nt
Organism: Notothenia coriiceps (black rockcod)
Lineage: Eukaryota; Metazoa; Chordata; Actinopteri; Perciformes; Nototheniidae
Exons: 2
Source: RefSeq, a predicted model, not a curated record